RNAcentral lists this ribosomal RNA (642 nucleotides) under Proteus mirabilis. RNAcentral's name for it is "bacterial SSU rRNA". It matches the Rfam family "Bacterial small subunit ribosomal RNA", at positions 817 to 1458 of the family's 1533-position model. Lineage: Bacteria; Pseudomonadati; Pseudomonadota; Gammaproteobacteria; Enterobacterales; Morganellaceae. The record is from RNAcentral.
UUAGAGGUUGUGGUCUUGAACCGUGGCUUCUGGAGCUAACGCGUUAAAUCGACCGCCUGGGGAGUACGGCCGCAAGGUUAAAACUCAAAUGAAUUGACGGGGGCCCGCACAAGCGGUGGAGCAUGUGGUUUAAUUCGAUGCAACGCGAAGAACCUUACCUACUCUUGACAUCCAGCGAAUCCUUUAGAGAUAGAGGAGUGCCUUCGGGAACGCUGAGACAGGUGCUGCAUGGCUGUCGUCAGCUCGUGUUGUGAAAUGUUGGGUUAAGUCCCGCAACGAGCGCAACCCUUAUCCUUUGUUGCCAGCACGUAAUGGUGGGAACUCAAAGGAGACUGCCGGUGAUAAACCGGAGGAAGGUGGGGAUGACGUCAAGUCAUCAUGGCCCUUACGAGUAGGGCUACACACGUGCUACAAUGGCAGAUACAAAGAGAAGCGACCUCGCGAGAGCAAGCGGAACUCAUAAAGUCUGUCGUAGUCCGGAUUGGAGUCUGCAACUCGACUCCAUGAAGUCGGAAUCGCUAGUAAUCGUAGAUCAGAAUGCUACGGUGAAUACGUUCCCGGGCCUUGUACACACCGCCCGUCACACCAUGGGAGUGGGUUGCAAAAGAAGUAGGUAGCUUAACCUUCGGGAGGGCGCUACCA